AACGAACGCUGGCGGCAUGCCUAACACAUGCAAGUCGAACGAGACCUUCGGGUCUAGUGGCGCACGGGUGCGUAACGCGUGGGAAUCUGACCUUCGGUUGGGCAUAACUGAGAGAAAUUUAAGAUAAUACCUUAUAAUGUCUUCGAACCAAAGAUUUAUCGACGAGGGAUGAGCGCGAGUAGGAUAAGGUAGUUGGUGGGGUAAUGGGCUACCAAGCCGACGAACCUUAGCUGGUCUGAGAGGAUGGUCCGCCACUCUGGGACUGAGAAGCGGCCCAGACUCCUACGGGAUGCAGCAGUGUGGAAUAUUGGACAAUCGGCGAAGGGCUGAUCCAGCUAGGCCGCGUGAGUGAUGUAGGUCUUAGAGUUGUAAAGUUCUUGUACCCGCGAUGAUAAUGACAGUACCGGGAGAAUAAGCUCCGGCUAACUCCGUG
RNAcentral lists this ribosomal RNA (433 nucleotides) under uncultured bacterium. RNAcentral describes it as "partial 16S ribosomal RNA". It matches the Rfam family "Bacterial small subunit ribosomal RNA", at positions 29 to 507 of the family's 1533-position model. The record is from RNAcentral.